UGUCGGCGAUGAAUUCGGGACCUUGUCAGUACUAGUUUCUGAUAUGAACACCGAACUAAGAGGAAUACUGAAGGACGAAGCAGCGACUUGUGCAAUUUUUGUGUGUAAACCUUGACCCAUCUCAACACCUCCAUGUGUUACUAGAACAGUCCCAUCAAUGUAGACAUGCACAAGCGCACCAGCCUGGUUCAUGUGCUUAGCAGUGAAG
This 208-nucleotide unclassified non-coding RNA is filed under the name Hevea brasiliensis (rubber tree). The record is from RNAcentral. Lineage: Eukaryota; Viridiplantae; Streptophyta; Magnoliopsida; Malpighiales; Euphorbiaceae.